UACGGAGGGGGCUAGCGUUGUUCGGAAUUACUGGGCGUAAAGCGCACGUAGGCGGCUUUGUAAGUUAGAGGUGAAAGCCCGGGGCUCAACUCCGGAACUGCCUUUAAGACUGCAUCGCUAGAAUUGUGGAGAGGUAAGUGGAAUUCCGAGUGUAGAGGUGAAAUUCGUAGAUAUUCGGAAGAACACCAGUGGCGAAGGCGACUUACUGGACACAUAUUGACGCUGAGGUGCGAAAAGCGUGGGGAGCAAACAGG
This 254-nucleotide ribosomal RNA is filed under the name uncultured bacterium. RNAcentral's name for it is "partial 16S ribosomal RNA". It matches the Rfam family "Bacterial small subunit ribosomal RNA", at positions 524 to 776 of the family's 1533-position model. The record is from RNAcentral.